RNAcentral lists this unclassified non-coding RNA (404 nucleotides) under soil metagenome. RNAcentral describes it as "partial contains 5.8S ribosomal RNA, internal transcribed spacer 2, and large subunit ribosomal RNA". The stretch from base 1 to 121 matches the Rfam family "5.8S ribosomal RNA", at positions 35 to 154 of the family's 154-position model. The record is from RNAcentral.
GAUGAAGAACGUAGCGAAAUGCGAUAAGUAAUGUGAAUUGCAGAAUUCAGUGAAUCAUCGAAUCUUUGAACGCACCUUGCGCCCUUUGGCUAUUCCAGAGGGCAUGCCUGUUUGAGUAUCAUGAACACCUCAACUCUCAUGGUUCUGCCAUGAUGAGCUUGGACUUUGGAGGUCUUGCUGGCCCCUGUGGUCAGCUCCUCUCAAAUGGAUCAGCUUGCCAGUGUUUGGUGGCAUCACAGGUGUGAUAACUAUCUACGCUUGUGGUUUUCCACCAGGUAACCUUCAGUGAUGGAGGUUCGCUGGAGCUCAUAAACGUCUCUCCUCAGCGAGGACAGCUUCUUGAAUGUUUGAUCUCAAAUCAGGUAGGGCUACCCGCUGAACUUAAGCAUAUCAUAAGCGGAGGA